UCCUCUCCACAUGAACCCCUCCACAGGCUGCUGCUUGGACUUCCUCAUGGCAUGGUGGCUGGAUUCCAAGGUAAAUGUCCCAAGUAAACAAGGCAGCUACAACAAACUACCAUAGAUUGCAUGGCUUACAAACAACAGAAAUUUAUUUCUCGCAGUUAUGGAGACUGGAAAGUCCAAGAUCAAGCUCUGAAGCGAAGAGCCCUGGCAGCUUCAGCUUUUGCUUCUUGAAAGCCAGCUGCCAUUACUAUCCCAGUAUAGAGAGAGAAGGACCUGGAAGAUGAGAAACCAAGGGACAGAGAGACCCAGCCUGCUCUCAGUCAUUCUUGCAACCCCAGCUGAGGCACCAGACAAAUGAGUGAAGCCACAUUGGAUCCUCCAGCCCCAGUUGAGCUGCCCCACCCAACACCAUGUGAAACAGAGCCAAGCUAUCCCCACUGAGUCCUGUCCAAAUUGCAAAAUCAUGAGCAAAUAAAUAGUUAUUUCUAUUUUAA
Molecule: non-coding RNA, 491 nt
Organism: Equus caballus (horse)
Lineage: Eukaryota; Metazoa; Chordata; Mammalia; Perissodactyla; Equidae
Source: RefSeq, a predicted model, not a curated record